Molecule: long non-coding RNA, 4094 nt
Organism: Pelmatolapia mariae (spotted tilapia)
Lineage: Eukaryota; Metazoa; Chordata; Actinopteri; Cichliformes; Cichlidae
Exons: 4
Source: RefSeq, a predicted model, not a curated record
AAGAGAGCUGCUUUUUCAUGAAACGGGGGUAAAGUAGUAAACCUACAGGAACAUAUACCACUACCAACGUUUGGAUAUUUCUCUCUAUUUCGGAGUUUCUCUCGGUUUGUGGGCUCAUCUAAAGCUGAGUAACAGGAAGAGAAGAGUCUGGUAGAGCAACUGAGGAACAAUUUCAGCCAUUUGGACUCAGCUCAGCCACUACAGAGGAAAGAAUGACUUCAACACAAAAGGACCAACAUGGAGCGAGAAGUCAGCGCUCUCAGGAGGCCGACAAACCUCACAGAAGAAAGGGAGAGAAAAUAUACAGCUGUGAUAACUGUGGGAAGGAUUUUAUGCGGGGUGGAGACUUAAAAAGACACCAACUCAUCCACAGUGGAGUUAAACCUUACAGCUGUGAAGAGUGUGGGAAGGAUUUUACCCGGGCUGGAGCCUUAAAAACACACCAACUCAUCCACAGUGGAGUUAAACCUUACAGCUGUGAAGAGUGUGGAAAGUCUUUUACCCGGGAUGGAGGCUUAAAAACACACCAACUCAUCCACAGUGGACUUAAACCUUACAGCUGUGACUUGUGUGGAAAGUCUUUUACCCGGGCUGGAGGCUUAAAAACACACCAACUCAUCCACAGUGGAUUUAAACCUUACAGCUGUGACUUGUGUGGAAAUUCCUUUACCCAGCCUGGAGCCUUAAAAAGACACCAACUCAUCCACAGUGGACUUAAACCAUACAGCUGUGAUGAUUGUGGAAAGUCUUUUACCCAGGCUGGAGACCUAAAAGCACACCAACUCAUCCACAGUGGACUUAGAUCUUACAGCUGUGACUUGUGUGGAAAGUCUUUUACUCGGGCUGGAGGCUUAAAAACACACCAGCUCAUUCACAGUGGAGUUAAACUGUACAGCUGUGACUUGUGUGGAAAGUCUUUUACCCUGGCUGGAGGCUUAAAAACACACCAACUCAUCCACAGUGGAUUUAAACCAUACAGCUGUGACUUGUGUGGAAAGUCUUUUAGGCUGGCUCAAAACUUAAAAACACACCAACUCAUCCACAGUGGAGUUAAACCGUACAGCUGUGAUUUGUGUGGAAAGUCUUUUAGCCACUGUCAAGGCUUAAAAACACACCAUGUCAUGCACAGUGGAGUUAAAGAGUACAGCUGUGAGUUGUGUGGUAAAGCUUUUGCUCUAAAUAGCGACUUACAGAGGCAUCUAGUUACCCACUCUGGAAUUAAGGCGUACAGCUGCGACCUUUGUGGGAAAAGGUUCAGCAACAAACAGUACCGAAAUAUUCACCUGCGGAUUCACACUGGAAAUGAUGUUUACUUCUGUGAUCAGUGUGGGAAACUGUUUACAACAGAAGCACAGUUAAAAAUACACAUGUUUAGCCACACUGAGGAGAGACCUUAUAAAUGUGACCUGUGUGAGAAGACUUUUAAAGCUCCACAUUACCUGAAAAACCACCAACAGAUCCACACCAGCAAGUAACUCUACAAGUGCAGUUACUCUGAGAGAUGGAUCCAGUUCUCAGCCCUGUCGUCACUGUGGUGGUGGGAAAGAGUUUCUUUGUAACCUCUGAGGAAAUACCUCCAAUCAUCAAUGGGACCUAAAGCCACAUCAACGUAGACACACUGCAGACAAAAUGAACUACUGCAAAGAAUGUGGGAGAGGCUUCCACACACCAAGUACAUUAAAAAUACAUGAACUCUUCCACAGUGGAGUCAAAAAGCACAUCUGUGACCAGUGUGGGUCAUCCUUCACCACUGCACGUGAGCUUAAAGAAAAAGCAUAAGCGAAUCCACACAGGAGAGACUCCAUACAAGUUCAGACACUGUGACAAAAGCUUCUCACAAUCAGGUCAUCGUAACAAACAUGAAAGUACACACAUGGAAGUGAACUUCAGCUGUGACCAGUGUGACAAGAGCUUCAGGAAUGCCAGUUCAUACUCUGAACACAAACAAUUCCAUGCUGUAAAUAAACUGUUUCACUGUUACCAAUGUGCAAAAACAUUCACUUCAUUAUCUGCUCUGUGCAAACAUCAGCCUGAUCAUGCAGGACUGAAAUCACUGGAUCACAAUGAAUCUGAAGAGAGAGAAAGAUCCUUUUCUGGUUUCAGGGUCAGACUUAAAAACCUUGAGAUCAGGCUCCACAGAGUUCAGAUGGAAUCUCCUGUAAAGAGUGUCAGCUGAUGCCACACUUGGAUCUGAUGAGGUAGCUCUGAUUUCUGGACCUGCAGUGAAUAAUCCUGAAUGUUACGUUUAGGAAGCUGCAUGUAUAGGAAGGAAUGUAUAGUAGGAAUGUCUUUUCUUUCUCUUUGUUUAACCAAACUGGUAUUCUAUCAAAAAUCACAUAUGGAUAUGUAUAUUAUUUCUUUUAUUUGAACUUUUUUAGCUUUUUCAAAAUUAACUUAUUUUUUAUGUUUUCAUUGCAUGUUUCAACUCAGUUAAAUUUCAAUUCUUUAUUUAUAUUUAAUCUUUUGCUGUGGUAAAAUCUUCUCUUAAAUCAUUUUUCUCCCAAAACUGCAAAUUAUUACAAAGCAGUUACUCUUAAAACUUCCAAAAUGAACUAAAUCUGUCCACCAGUUUUGAAACAACAGCUGCUGUGACUUUGUGUCCAGAAAAAAGAAACUCAAGCUGAACUGGUUUUGGGCUGUACUUCCAUGUAAUUCCAUGUUUUGUUUUUUUUUACCAGAAGAUGGAGCAGUGAGGCUGUGUAACCUUUAUUUAAUUAGGGAAAGACCACAAUAUUCACAGUGGCAGCAAAGAACUGUUAAAAGUUAAAAACAGCAGCACACAUCAGGACCAUUUUAAAGAUCACAUGUGACUAAUUUUAGUUAAUUCAAAUCCUUUUAAACAUCGAUUUUUGGCUCCUCCUUUCACUUUAGUGUAUUUACUGUAUCCUUUGUUUGUCCACGUUGUUUUUUAAUGAAUUCAUUUUGAUCCACAUGUUCUGCAGCUGUUUUCCUGUUGAUCUGAAGUAGGGCUGGGCGAUAUGGCCUAAAAUUCAUAUCGCGAUAUAAUUUGAAGCAUGUGCGAUAACGAUAUAUAUCACGAUAUAUUCUUUUCUUCUGUAUAACGUAUUUUCCACACUAUAAGGCACACUUAAAAUCCUUUAAUUUUCUCAAAAAUCGAGAGUGUGCCUUAUGUAUGAAUUCUGGUUGUGCUUACUGACCUUGAACCGAUUUUGGCGUGUAGAAAUCUGUUAAAAAAUGUUUUAGUACAACUUUGGUAAGCCUGCUGAUGGACUGCUUGAUGGAUUGUCAGAGCAUUACGGCUGCCGUAGUGAGGAGUAAUCUGGGUCCAAAACUCUGUCUACUUCAGGUCCCAAAGUCAAACGAACACUGAGAGUUAAAAACAGUCUAAAUUCUUUCAUCUUUAAUUAAAUCAUCAGCGUUGCUGCUUUAUCGGGUGUAACAAUUAAGUUUAACAUCCAUGCAUCCGUGAAAACAGAAUUUAUUAAAUUUAAAGGAGUUAGAAGUUAACAGGAAGUUAGCUCGCUAGUUUAUACCUAAACAUUUCAUACCAUGUUCUGACUGAGAGAUUUUUGAAACUAAUUAAAACGUACAGCUCUGCUACCACUCCCAACAUAAAUGAAGACAGGAAACUAAACAGCAGUGGCGUUUGCAGGGUUACCGAAGUUAGACUACCUGGUAUAUAAUGUUGUGCUACGCGAUUGCUAGCGACACAGCUAUGUUAGCAUAACAUUAGCACAGUGAAGCUGGAGGAUGAACGGCAACUUUUUUUCCACUCAAUAAAAGUUAACAUGAGGGAUUCUGGUGGUUAGGGACACAUGCAAUCGCAUAGCAGGAUGCUAUACACGGGCCAAACUUCAGUCAGGAGAACAUAAUUUACUGAUGAUAGUGGUUGUAGCCGCUGUGAUACUUUCUACCAAAACAGGCGCAGCUUGAUGACAUCAACAUGCGCUAUCGCGAUAGAGCGAUAUAGUCAAAAUCUCUAUCGUUGGCCAAAUCUAUAUCGUUUCUAUCGUAUAUCGUUUAUAUCGCCCACCCCUAAUCUGAAGUUUGUAUUAUGAAAUCCUGAUAAUGUUAAAGCGUUAGUUAUAUUUGAUGAACUCUGUGUAAAGUUUAUCUUAUUAAACGGUUUGGUG